UACGGAGGGUGCAAGCGUUAUCCGGAUUCACUGGGUUUAAAGGGUGCGUAGGAGGGCAGGUAAGUCAGUGGUGAAAUCUCCAAGCUUAACUUGGAAACUGCCGUUGAUACUAUCUGUCUUGAAUACCGUGGAGGUGAGCGGAAUAUGUCAUGUAGCGGUGAAAUGCUUAGAUAUGACAUAGAACACCAAUUGCGAAGGCAGCUCGCUACACGAAUAUUGACACUGAGGCACGAAAGCGUGGGGAUCAAACAGG
RNAcentral lists this ribosomal RNA (253 nucleotides) under uncultured bacterium. RNAcentral describes it as "partial 16S ribosomal RNA". It matches the Rfam family "Bacterial small subunit ribosomal RNA", at positions 524 to 776 of the family's 1533-position model. The record is from RNAcentral.